This 406-nucleotide ribosomal RNA is filed under the name Chloritis eustoma. Its description in RNAcentral is "partial 16S ribosomal RNA". It matches the Rfam family "Archaeal large subunit ribosomal RNA", at positions 1900 to 2661 of the family's 2987-position model. The record is from RNAcentral. Lineage: Eukaryota; Metazoa; Mollusca; Gastropoda; Stylommatophora; Camaenidae.
CAAAAACAUAGCCAGAUGAACUUACGUUUGGUGACUUCUGCUCAAUGAUUAAUUAAAUAGCCGCAGUACCCUGACUGUGCAAAGGUAGCAUAAUUAUUUGUCUUUUAAUUAAAGUCUUGUAUGAAUGAAUACAUGAAGGCUCACUUUACCAGUAGUAUAACUUGAAUUUACUUAGUUAGUGCAAAUGCUAAUAGUAUUAAAAUAGACGAGAAGACCCUAGAAAUUUUGAUUUAGUGUUUUUGUUGGGGCAACAUGGUAACAAGUAAUUUACUUUAUGUAUAUGACAUAGUAUUAGAUAAAUUAAAUUACUCUAGGGAUAACAGCAUAAUAUUCAUGUGUUUGUGACCUCGAUGUUGGAUUAGGGAGUUGUAAUUUAGAAGAUUAACAUGCUUGCUCUGUUCGCGCA